CUUGGUCAUUUAGAGGAAGUAAAGUCGUACAAGGUUUCCGUAGGUGAACCU
This 51-nucleotide ribosomal RNA is filed under the name Kabatina juniperi. Its description in RNAcentral is "partial 18S ribosomal RNA". Lineage: Eukaryota; Fungi; Ascomycota; Dothideomycetes; Dothideales; Dothioraceae. The record is from RNAcentral.